UGCAUGAAGUCGGAAUCGCUAGUAAUCGCGGAUCAGCAUGCCGCGGUGAAUACGUUCCCGGGCCUUGUACACACCGCCCGUCACACCAUGAGAGUCGGGAACACCCGAAGUCCGUAGUCUGACCGCAAGGGGGACGCGGCCGAAGGUGGGUUCGAUAAUUGGGGUGAAGUCGUAACAAGGUAUC
Molecule: ribosomal RNA, 184 nt
Filed under: uncultured bacterium
Lineage: Bacteria
Description: partial 16S ribosomal RNA
Rfam family: Bacterial small subunit ribosomal RNA
Source: RNAcentral